CCUACGGGUGGCAGCAGUGAGGAAUAUUGGUCAAUGGACGAGAGUCUGAACCAGCCAAGUAGCGUGAAGGAUGACUGCCCUAUGGGUUGUAAACUUCUUUUAUAUGGGAAUAAAAUGUUCCACGUGUGGGAUUUUGUAUGUACCAUAUGAAUAAGGAUCGGCUAACUCCGUGCCAGCAGCCGCGGUAAUACGGAGGAUCCGAGCGUUAUCCGGAUUUAUUGGGUUUAAAGGGAGCGUAGGUGGAUUGUUAAGUCAGUUGUGAAAGUUUGCGGCUCAACCGUAACAUUGCCGUUGAAACUGGCAGUCUUGAGUACAGUAGAGGUGUGCGGAAUGCGUGGUGUAGCGGUGAAAUGCUUAGAUAUCACGAAGAACUCCGAUUGCGAAGGCAGUUCACUGGACUGCAACUGACACUGAGGCUCGAAAGUGUGGGUAUCAAACAGGAUUAGAUACCCCAGUAGUC
This 460-nucleotide ribosomal RNA is filed under the name uncultured bacterium. Its description in RNAcentral is "partial 16S ribosomal RNA". It matches the Rfam family "Bacterial small subunit ribosomal RNA", at positions 338 to 795 of the family's 1533-position model. The record is from RNAcentral.